This is a long non-coding RNA of Callorhinchus milii (elephant shark), 548 nucleotides long. RefSeq lists it as uncharacterized. The record is from RefSeq and is a predicted model, not a curated record. NCBI's taxonomy places the organism in Eukaryota, Metazoa, Chordata, Chondrichthyes, Chimaeriformes, Callorhinchidae. The transcript is spliced from 2 exons.
GGGGGAGGGCGCUUUGUCACGUGGGUCUCGGCGCGGAGCAAAACAAAUCAGGAAGAAGCUGCCAACGACAAUAACCGCCACCGACCGCGAGUUUUUUUUUCAUUUCGCCGGGAUUCAGGGCCUCGCUCCGCACUUGUCGGUCCGCGCUCGCGGGCUGUCUUGUUUUUAAGCGGAUCUCCUGGCUAACAUCAGUGAAGUGCAUCCGCCUCGCUUCUUCCUGAUUGAAAUGGCACCCUGGGCUGUACAGAGACCGCCUUCUGCUAAGAAUUAUGUGAAAAGAAAUAAACUACUUCAUAAAUAAGAAUGUGGUUUACAAUGCAUAUGUUUACACCUACAGUUACUGCCUCCUUUAGCUUUGUUAUAAUUGCAUAUGUUGUUUGUUAGAUAUUACAUUAUUUGUAUAUUUAGUUUGAUAACCAUUAACACUUUAUAUCAAUUAUUCUUGUGAGGGUAUCCAUUAACACUUUACAUCAAUUAUUCUUGUGAGGGAGAUUUUUGUAAUUUAUCUUCAGUAACCUGAAAUAAACUUCCCAGUGUGUUUUCCAAGA